UGCACCCAUGUAUGUGAAUUCUCCCUUGCCU
This 31-nucleotide non-coding RNA is filed under the name Mus musculus (house mouse). The record is from RNAcentral. Lineage: Eukaryota; Metazoa; Chordata; Mammalia; Rodentia; Muridae.